CCUACGGGAGGCAGCAGUGGGGAAUUUUGGACAAUGGGCGAAAGCCUGAUCCAGCAAUGCCGCGUGAGUGAAGAAGGCCUUCGGGUUGUAAAGCUCUUUUGUCAGGGAAGAAACGGUGAGAGCUAAUAUCUCUUGCUAAUGACGGUACCUGAAGAAUAAGCACCGGCUAACUACGUGCCAGCAGCCGCGGUAAUACGUAGGGUGCAAGCGUUAAUCGGAAUUACUGGGCGUAAAGCGUGCGCAGGCGGUUUUGUAAGUCUGAUGUGAAAUCCCCGGGCUCAACCUGGGAAUUGCAUUGGAGACUGCAAGGCUAGAAUCUGGCAGAGGGGGGUAGAAUUCCACGUGUAGCAGUGAAAUGCGUAGAUAUGUGGAGGAACACCGAUGGCGAAGGCAGCCCCCUGGGUCAAGAUUGACGCUCAUGCACGAAAGCGUGGGGAGCAAACAGGAUUAGAUACCCUGGUAGUCCACGCCCUAAACGAUGUCUACUAGUUGUCGGGUCUUAAUUGACUUGGUAACGCAGCUAACGCGUGAAGUAGACCGCCUGGGGGAGGUACGGUCGCGAGAAGUUAAAACGUUAAAAGGUAAAGUUAGUACGGCGUGAGACGUAGACCGACGGACGACGACGAGGGGAGGAGG
This 636-nucleotide ribosomal RNA is filed under the name uncultured bacterium. RNAcentral's name for it is "bacterial SSU rRNA". The stretch from base 1 to 542 matches the Rfam family "Bacterial small subunit ribosomal RNA", at positions 338 to 873 of the family's 1533-position model. The record is from RNAcentral.